ACGCUCGACACCUACGGGGGGCAGCAGUGGGGAAUGUUGCACAAUGGGGGAAACCCUGAUGCAGCGACGCCGCGUGGAGGAAGAAGGUCUUCGGAUUGUAAACUCCUGUUGUUGGGGAAAAAGAGGAUGGUACCCAACAAGGAAGUGACGGCUAACUACGUGCCAGCAGCAGCGGUAAUCUGAGCGGGCUGGCAAGGC
Molecule: ribosomal RNA, 198 nt
Filed under: uncultured bacterium
Lineage: Bacteria
Description: partial 16S ribosomal RNA
Rfam family: Bacterial small subunit ribosomal RNA
Source: RNAcentral